AAACGAAGAGGAGGCACAAGCAAUUCAGAGAAGAGAAAAGAAGCCAACAGGAACCAACGCAGAUCAUUUUGCCUUGGUGGUCUUCUUCUGUCGCGCAGGGCGCAUGACUACAACCUCCUCCGCGCUGUCGUGCGCUCCUCCUCCACCUCUACUUGCACCUGCUCCUCCUUAUCCCCAAAACAGAGCCCAAGCAAACCCUAGUUCCCUUCUUCCCCCUCCAUGCGCCGCGACCAGUUCCCCUUCUCCACGCAGGACUGCAGACAAGGAUAUGCAGCGGCAGUUUUGGAACAAAUUCAGACAUAUCCUGAGCUCCGCCGGAAGAAAUCGACGUCGACCAGUCGCUCCGGCCAUCUCCCGGCACCGUCGACCCCUCCACAAGCAUCCUGGACCUCGUCGCCGGCGACUCUCCGUUGAUCCUCGGUCCCAGCGCCUACUCCACCACGUCCGCCCUGCCGAGACGCAUGUCCGGUGCCGUUUUCUUCCUCGCCGUUCGCCCUCCAUCGCCAGGGUUGUGCUUGUCGUCAUCUACUUUGAUCCCUGCGUCCCCCGCUGUUAUGCAUCUCUGUCAGAUAGAGUUAUCUUCGACAGUUGCUUGGUCCAAAGAUCCACAGUGUCUGAACCAUCUCAACAUCUGAAUUUCAGAUCGACUAGUUCGUGCCUUAGUUUCAGCCGUGAGCUCCUUUGUUCAAAUCCCCAAAGCUGCCAAUUAAAUUCAUCAUUUCUUUCCUUGUUUUGUUCAGAUGUCGCGCCUGAAGUUGGUUCUUUUAUACACGAGAGCAAACUAAAUCAGCAUCGUCAAAGCAGUAUGGUGGCCAGGGCCUUGAACUCUUUCUAGUUGGUAUGUGCUAAUCUCGUCGCCCGUGCCGGCUAGAUCGCCCGCAGCUUUCCUUGUUCAGACUUCAGAGGUCACCCGACCUGUGCUGACCUGCACAUGCACGAACCAUCCCGAAGUUCAGAUACCUGGCUAGGCAAGUCACUUCUUUUUCUUGGUUUCAUACAAAUCCUCCUUGUUUCAUCUGUCUUUGACUGGGGCGUUCCUCUCAGGAGAAAAACGUAUCAGCAGCUACAUCCAAUUCCAUGUCCUGUGAGUGCUUUCCUGGGCAUGUGCAUCAGUCUCCGUGUCUGGCUAAUCGUUGCAUUUGCUUCUUUCCGGAUAGGAUCACGAAGUGGUGCGGUGAGAUACGACAAGUUCUCCGGAUGUCCCUCGGCAAUCUUUAACAGGCAAGCAUUUUCCCUUAUACUUCUGCCUCUGCAGAAGUCGCUCACCUAUUUUAUUUUGCCUUCUCCCUCAUGCUAUCCUUAAGUUGCGUUCUUGUCACGUGUCCCUUCCACUUGUUACCUCAAACAACCUAUAUUGCCUCCACCAACCACCUACAACUAUUGUUUGGUUAUCGGGUCUGCCUUGCGAGUCGUAGUGCAUGCUAGUGCUGUGUUAUCUUGAUACCGUUAUUGCUAUCUUAUCGGGUUAUCUGUUGGGGAUCAUGACACAUGCUACAUGGUUAUAUCUGUUGAGGGUAUCAUGGUUACUUGUUAAUAGUUGUUAAGCGGAGGCAUCGGUGGGUCAGUUGCUCGUUUUAUGACGGCUCACUUGUGUUUCUUUAAAGCUUAGGA
Molecule: non-coding RNA, 1611 nt
Organism: Lolium perenne
Lineage: Eukaryota; Viridiplantae; Streptophyta; Magnoliopsida; Poales; Poaceae
Source: RefSeq, a predicted model, not a curated record